Molecule: ribosomal RNA, 531 nt
Filed under: uncultured bacterium
Lineage: Bacteria
Description: bacterial SSU rRNA
Rfam family: Bacterial small subunit ribosomal RNA
Source: RNAcentral
CCCCGCGCCCGGCCCGCCGCCCCCGCCCCCCUACGGGAGGCAGCAGUGGGGAAUUUUGGACAAUGGGCGCAAGCCUGAUCCAGCCAUGCCGCGUGAGUGAAGAAGGCCUUCGGGUUGUAAAGCUCUUUUGGCGGGGACGAAACGGUCCGUGCUAAUACCACGGACUAAUGACGGUACCCGCAGAAGAAGCACCGGCUAACUACGUGCCAGCAGCCGCGGUAAUACGUAGGGUGCAGGCGUUUAUCGGAAUUACUGGGCGUAAAGCGUGCGUAGGCGGUUUGUUAAGACAGGUGUGAAAUCCCCGGGCUUAACCUGGGAACUGCGCUUGUUACUGGCAGACUUGAGUGUGGCAGAGGGGGGUGGAAUUCCAGGUGUAGCAGUGAAAUGCGUAGAUAUCUGGAGGAACACCGAUGGCGAAGGCAGCCCCCUGGGCUAACACUGACGCUGAUGCACGAAAGCGUGGGGAGCAAACAGGAUUAGAUACCCUGGUAGUCCACGCCCUAAACUAUGUCAACUGGUUGUCGGGGAAGA